AAAAGUCGUAACAAGGUUUCCGUAGGUGAACCUGCGGAAGGAUCAU
RNAcentral lists this ribosomal RNA (46 nucleotides) under Haplorchis taichui. RNAcentral's name for it is "partial 18S ribosomal RNA". It matches the Rfam family "Eukaryotic small subunit ribosomal RNA", at positions 1784 to 1829 of the family's 1831-position model. The record is from RNAcentral. Lineage: Eukaryota; Metazoa; Platyhelminthes; Trematoda; Opisthorchiida; Heterophyidae.